AGGUAGUAACAACCAUUUGAGUCUGGGAUUUCUGAAUGGGGAAACCCACUUACAUAAGUAAGUAUCCUUACCUGAAUACAUAGGGUAAGGAGGCGAACCGGGGGAACUGAAACAUCUAAGUACCCCGAGGAAAAGAAAUCAACCGAGAUUCCGAAAGUAGCGGCGAGCGAAAUUGGACUAGCCCUUAAGCUUUACACGCGUUAGACGAACGGUCUGGAAAGUCCGACGAUACAGGGUGAUAGUCCCGUAGUUGACGACGUGUGUUCAGUGAAAUCGAGUAGGGCGGGACACGUGAUAUCCUGUCUGAAUAUGGGGGGACCAUCCUCCAAGGCUAAAUACUACUGACUGACCGAUAGUGAACCAGUACCGUGAGGGAAAGGCGAAAAGAACCCCUGUGAGGGGAGUGAAAUAGAACCUGAAACCGUGUACGUACAAGCAGUAGGAGCAGGCUUUGUCCUGUGACUGCGUACCUUUUGUAUAAUGGGUCAGCGACUUAUAUUCAGUGGCAAGGUUAACCAUCUAGGGGAGCCGUAGGGAAACCGAGUCUUAACUGGGCGUUCAGUCUCUGGAUAUAGACCCGAAACCAGGUGAUCUAGCCAUGGGCAGGUUGAAGGUUGAGUAACAUCAACUGGAGGACCGAACCGACUAAUGUUGAAAAAUUAGCGGAUGACUUGUGGCUAGGGGUGAAAGGCCAAUCAAACCUGGAGAUAGCUGGUUCUCCCCGAAAGCUAUUUAGGUAGCGCCUCGGACGAAUACUACUGGGGGUAGAGCACUGUUAAGGCUAGGGGGUCAUCCCGACUUACCAACCCUUUGCAAACUCCGAAUACCAGUAAGUACUAUCCGGGAGACACACGGCGGGUGCUAACGUCCGUCGUGGAGAGGGAAACAACCCAGACCGCCAGCUAAGGUCCCAAAUUACUACUAAGUGGGAAACGAUGUGGGAAGGCUCAGACAGCCAGGAUGUUGGCUUAGAAGCAGCCAUCAUUUAAAGAAAGCGUAAUAGCUCACUGGUCGAGUCGGCCUGCGCGGAAGAUGUAACGGGGCUAAGUAGUAAACCGAAGCUGCGGCAAUAUACUUUUGUAUAUUGGGUAGGGGAGCGUUCUGUAAGCGGUUGAAGGUGUGUGGUAACGCA
This 1132-nucleotide ribosomal RNA is filed under the name Vibrio parahaemolyticus. Its description in RNAcentral is "partial 23S ribosomal RNA". It matches the Rfam family "Bacterial large subunit ribosomal RNA", at positions 84 to 1270 of the family's 2925-position model. Lineage: Bacteria; Pseudomonadati; Pseudomonadota; Gammaproteobacteria; Vibrionales; Vibrionaceae. The record is from RNAcentral.